GUCUGUGAUCUAGCCUUAAACUCUUCCGCCUCUUCGUGACCCUGGAUGUUGGUCAACGCUGGGGCUGCUGACUCCACCCUCCCCAAAGGGCUGGGAAGCCUGGGUCUGAAAGGGGAAGUCCAGAUGUAGGUGCCUGGCUUUGCAUUGCCCGGGCAAGUCGUGCACCCCUGGGUGGCUCCACCUCUGCCCGCUCCCCAGGGAGAACCUACCCACAGGGAUCUGAGGCGUUGAGAGGUGCCUGGAAGGUUGGAGGAACCGAGGGGGCGCCGCGAGGAAAAAUGUUUCCGCCCACCCCGAGCCUCUCCUCCGACCGGGUACAGGAUUUGGGGGGUCUAUUGUUCCGGUCCUACAGCGCUGAGCCGGGGCUUUCCCACGAAGUGCUGCUACCACCUGCUGGUUCUUUCAAGGAACACAGGCGACUGGUGGAAGUCCCUCUGGCCUUUCCCCCCUCCUCCCCGUAUCACCGGGUGGCAUCUCAGUUCUCCCACUUACUUACUUCGUUUAUCCAAGACGAGGGAAAGCGCUAGCUAGCUGCAAACGGGCUGAUCACAAAAGUGGUACUUAAGGAGCAUUCAGAAACCGAGGAAAAUUGUGAAAGAGAUCUGUGAGCCAACAAGCACAAUAAAGGAAACAAUGCAACUCAUUAGAAGGCACCUGGGAGAAACAAACCGGCUUUAAUGAAUUGGGUGAAUGAGUGAUGGAAACUGAAAGGCGACUGAACUAGUCCCCACUUGGCAAGGGGGUUGUUCCCUCUCGAUAUCUGCAGUCAAUUAAUAAGCCUAAUGAUGUUGAAUGAUUCUGCAUUUGGGCAGCUUCGAUAAGUCCGCUUGCACCGGGGUCCAAUCUUCAGAGAAAGCACCCUUGUACUCUGCAAGCAAAGAGGUGAUUCCGAUUGGCCCUGUAUCAUCAUCUCCUGUGUGUUAAACCACGUUGUAAAGGGGUGGAUGCCAGGCCUGACUCUGGUUCUCGAGAAGAAGACAGACUUCUGCUGGAAGCACUUGUGAGAACGCUUUUGGCUUUCUAUGAAGAGACACAGAUUUGGCUGAUGUGGCUUUCUCCUUUGUCGCAUCUUGAAAUCUUCUGUUGGACGUUGUAUUGGUCUCCUAUCAAUGCCAUAAAAAAAAAAAACUUAGUGGCUGAAAACCACACAAAUGUAUUAUCUUACAGUUCUAAAUUUGGGUCAGAAGUCCAAAAUGGGUCUGAACUGGGUUAAGGAAAACAAACAAACAAAACAAAACAAACCCUCAAAGUAUAGGAGGGCUGUGUUCCUUGUCUAGGCUCUAGGGAGAAUCUUUCCUUGCCUUUUGUAGAGCAACUUCUGGGGCCACUGCAUUCCUUAACUCAUGGUCUUUAUCCUCAAAGCCAGUAAUAUCGGCUGAAUUCUUUUGCUGACUCUCUUCCGUCUCCCUCUUCCACUUAUGAUUAUAGUGGGUCCACCCAGAUAAUCCAGGAUCAUCUCUGUAUCUCAAAGUCAGGCGAUUAGCAACCUUAAUUCUAUCUGCAAACCUAAUUCCCCUUUGCUUUGUAAA
Prionailurus viverrinus (fishing cat) is the source of this 1529-nucleotide long non-coding RNA. RefSeq lists it as uncharacterized. The transcript has 3 exons. NCBI's taxonomy places the organism in Eukaryota, Metazoa, Chordata, Mammalia, Carnivora, Felidae. The record is from RefSeq and is a predicted model, not a curated record.